This 2529-nucleotide unclassified non-coding RNA is filed under the name Megachile rotundata (alfalfa leafcutting bee). RNAcentral's name for it is "zinc finger protein 2 homolog, transcript variant X5". Lineage: Eukaryota; Metazoa; Arthropoda; Insecta; Hymenoptera; Megachilidae. The record is from RNAcentral.
AAUUUCCCACUCGUGUGCACAACCAAUUUAAAGGGACAGCUUUUUCGAGAGAACAAAAACGCCGACAGAGGGUGUCGUCUCUGGUGCACUCUGUGAUGCUACCUCGCAUCGGCUUUUCUAUAGAAUCCUGCCAUUAAUGGCGCGUAUCAUUAUGUCAAGAAGAGUUAUGUGAAAUUUUAGUAUCUUACUACAAUUACGAAGUAAGAUUUCGAUGAAAUGAAUUCAAUUAAAUGAGUUACGUUACAUGCAUUUAAAAAUACUAUAUCUUUUUCUCUACUCUUCUUUAUUGUGUAACGAAAUUGGUGUUGAAGUAAGAAAAGUCUGAACAAUUUGUAAACAUUUAUAAUGAUGAUAAAGAAGAAAAAAGUAUGUGAUUUAUAAGAGACGUUUUGAUUUUUAAAAGAUAAUUUAAAUAAUCAAAAUCUUACAAAUAUAGUGUUGAUGGUAUUUGGCAAGAAAUCAAAUUUUAUAAUAAAAUAUAUAAUAAUUUGCUAUGAUAAUUUAUUUUUUGUAUGAUGGAUCCUGAGAAUUCUAUUAUGUUAGAAUCAUGUGGGGAGGAGUCGAUUUUGAUCCGAACUGUAAAAAACAUGGUCAAUGAAAGCACACGUAGUGAAUUAGAAAGCGAAGAAGAAGGAUAUUUUGUAGUAACAAAUGUUCAAGAUGAACAACAAGAUGUAAUUGAAGUUUCAAAUGAGGGAUCAACAGUAAUGCAAUUGGAAGAACGAUUUUCUUGGUCCAAUUUAUGCAGAAUAUGUGCUAAUACCAAUGAUCACAUAAUCCCAAUAUUUGAUGGAGAAGGAUUACAACAUGAUUUGUGUAAUAAGAUACACAAAUAUUUACCAAUACAGAUAUCUGAAAAUGAUACGCUUCCUUUACAAUUAUGUUACCAUUGUGCUGCUACAUUAUUAGCAUGGCAUGAGUUGUCAGAAGGAUGUUUAAAUGCAGAAAGACGAUUAUUAGAAAUGCAAGGUGCUCUACAAGAAAAACAAAGUUCAGUGAAACUAGAGGCUUCCAUGCAGGAGGAUACUAUCUCUAUAUCUAAUGUAACGGAAUCUCUUCAUCAACAACAAGGCUCUGCAGGAAAGGAUGAAACUUGUGGAGAAUCAGCUGUUAAUGAUUUAGACAGGUCUGGUCUACCUCAGAAGAAAUCCUUCACUACAUGGCGCAUGACAGCCAAUGAUUGUACAGUUCCUCAAAAAUUCAUUGAAAGCAUGAAUGAUGACAGUAAUUCACUUGACAACUGUGACAGUACGGAGUUUAAUACGGCAGAAAUGACGAGAACAUUGUCACCUCCAAAUUGUCCAAACGACACAGUACCACAGUUAAAAAAGUAUACUACUUCAAAGCAUCAACAUGCAUGCAAAAAUUGUCAACGCGUUUUCAUGAGAGAAUACCAUUUGAUACGGCACAUGUCUAAGUGUAAAACUAAAUCUGUCAGGAAAAGAACUGAAAGUUCCAGGGAUAAGAACAUGCAGGAUAAAAGUCAAAAGAAGUGGAACUUGUUUCAGAAAUAUAAAAGGAAAAGGCUGCAAUCGCACCCUUGCAUGUAUUGCGAUUACACGAGUACAAAGAAGAAGUUAUUAGAGUUGCAUUUGAUGGAGUCGCAUCCAGAAUUCAAUGGAAAAAAGGAUAAGAAACUAAAAUGUGCUGAUCGUGAACUGGUGAUGCGUGCUAGAAUGGAGAUCGAUGGAAAAGUUUAUUAUCACUGUAACGAAUGUGGUAAAAAUCUUUAUUCACCGUACACAUUUUCCUGGCAUAUGCGAAUACACACAGGAGAACGUCCAUAUACUUGUCAUCUCUGCGGAAAACAAUUUCGAGUGAAUCAGGGUCUAGCAAGGCAUCUGCGAGACACUCAUGCAGGGAUUAAGAAUUUCCCAUGUGACAUCUGUGGACGAAUGUUUUCCACAAAACGCAACGCUGAAGAUCACAGGCGCAUUCACACCGGGGAACGACCAUAUGUUUGCAACGUUUGUGGCAAAUCAUUCAAACAGAAAGCUUCUCUCUUCGUGCAUAAUCGUACGCAUUCGAACGUUUUCCCUUUCAAAUGCAAUCACUGCGAGCACAGCUUCAGAACGAGACCUUCGCUCAUGGUGCACAUAACUAAACACACGGGCGAGAAGCCACACGCAUGUGACAUAUGUGGUCGAUGUUUUCGUAUAAAAUACGAAUUGAAGCGUCAUAGACUGAUACAUUCCGAUGAAAAACCGUGGCAGUGCACAGACUGCAAUCUUUCAUUUCGACAAAAACGCUAUUUAGUUAAUCAUAAGAAAAGUAAUCAUAACACGAACUCGUUUAUGGCUGCCGCUAAGUAAUGAGAGAACUCUCUUUUCAGGUAUAAUUAUGAAGUGACGAUGUGAGACAGGAGCCAAGCGUUUCGCAAGGCAACGAAAAUAUGGAAAGACGUAAUAACAAUUUCAGAAUUCAGCUACUUUCAAACAAAGUGGAAGACCGAGUCUGAUGGAGUUAUACAAAUAUCUACUGUCGAUAGCGAAAGUACAAAUGCUGAGGAGAUAGAAUACAUCCAAUGCG